This is a long non-coding RNA of Salvelinus fontinalis (brook trout), 1685 nucleotides long. RefSeq lists it as uncharacterized. The record is from RefSeq and is a predicted model, not a curated record. Lineage: Eukaryota; Metazoa; Chordata; Actinopteri; Salmoniformes; Salmonidae. The transcript has 3 exons.
UGACACUUGCAGGGCAAGGGACAAGGGAAGAAUUUAUUGAUUUUAAAUGGACCACUAUUGCCCGGAAAUGUGUCACUCGUUCAUACAAAGGAUGUGUUUUCAGGCAUCAUGGAACUGUUAUGUGUGCCUUAUAUGUGCUACAGUCAAUUAUGAUUGCAUUUCAUAUUUUGUCUAGAAGACAACGCCUCCGCAGACAUCGAAUGUUAGCCAUCCUAGUAUAUCAGGAUGGCCGCGGGGAUUUCCUCAAGUGCAUAAGGCGAGGCUAACUGGAGGAGUGUGUGUCUUUUAUGAGUUUGAAACGCAGCCUCGGUCUUCCAUAAACACGAGCUGUAACAUGGAUACAUGGCCGUGUGGGAACACUAGCCCUACCCCUAUAAAGGUUUAUCUGUACCCUUAGAUCUCCUCUUGUGUCUAGCCCUAUAAAUGCUGUCAAGAAAGCCUGCACAUACUGUAUGACCAGUCUACAUCAAGGUGAGGGGGAAGAAUCCACAUUUUGAGCUACAGAAAGGGACACCGGCAGGCUCAUCCUGGGAGCUCUAAUCCUAAAAGCAACAGUUCAAGACUCUGAGACCGUGGAUGGACGCACAACGGUACAGUGUAAGCACAGGUCAAAGAGCUUUUUUAGCACGUUGAGAUAAUGGCCUUGUUAUUCCCAGUAAGCAUAGUUGUGAAUGUAUCUAUUGAGUUUCGACAUUUGGCAAUGACCGUGACCAACAGUGCUCUAAGAAAGUAUUCACUGCCCUUGUUUCUCUGCUAAAACAGGAGCAAUAAAGGACUAGUUCACACAUUUUGUUGGGAGGAAUUUAAUAUUAUAUAUAUUUGUAUUUAUUUAUCAAGGACCUUCAGCACCCCUACUUCCCGUGGCUAUGAUUGAAUAUCCCUAUGAGUAUGGUGAAGUUAUUAAUUACACUUUGGUGUAUCAAUACACCCAGUAACUACAAAGAUAUAGGCAUCCUUCCUUACUCAAUUGCCGCUCUGGGAUUUCACCAUAAGGCCAAUGGUGACUUUAAAAGAGUUAAAGAGUUUAAUGGCUGUAAUAGGAGAAAAUUUAGGAUGGAUCAACAACAUUGUUGAAUAUCGGCUAUGAAAAGCCAACUGACAUUUAUUCCUGAUUAUUAUUUGACCAUGCUUGUCAUUUAUGAACAUUUUGAAAAUCUUGGCUCUCUAAUUCUCUCCUUCUCUCUUUCUUUCUCUCUCUCGGAGGACCUGAGCCCUAGGACCAUACGUCAGGACUACCGGGCAUGAUGACUCCUUGCUGUCCCCAGUCCACCUGGCCUUGCUGCUAUUCCAGUUUCAACUGUUCUGCCUGCGGUUAUGGAACUCCUACCUGUCCCAGACCUGCUGUUUUCAACUCUUAAUGAUCGGCUAUGAAAAGCCAAAUUACAUUUAUUCCUGAUUAUUAUUUGACCAUGCUUGUCACUUAUGAACAUUUUGAACAUCUUGGCCAUGUUCUGUUAUAAUCUCCACCCGGCACAGCCAGAAGAGGACUGGCCACCCCUCAUAGCCUGGUUCCUCUCUAGGUUUCUUCCUAGGUUUUGGCCUUUCUAGGGAGUUUUUCCUAGCCACCGUGCUUCUACACCUGCAUUGCUUGCUGUUUGGGGUUUUAGGCUGGGUUUCUGUACAGCACUUCGAGAUAUUAGCUGAUGUAAGAAGGGCUAUAUAAAAUAAACUUGAUUUUGAUUUGA